This 491-nucleotide ribosomal RNA is filed under the name uncultured bacterium. RNAcentral's name for it is "partial 16S ribosomal RNA". It matches the Rfam family "Bacterial small subunit ribosomal RNA", at positions 29 to 507 of the family's 1533-position model. The record is from RNAcentral.
AGUGAACGCUGGCGGUAGGCCUAACACAUGCAAGUCGAACGGCAGCACAGUAAGAGCUUGCUCUUACGGGUGGCGAGUGGCGGACGGGUGAGGAAUACAUCGUAAUCUACUUUUUCGUGGGGGAUAACGUAGGGAAACUUACGCUAAUACCGCAUACGACCUACGGGUGAAAGCAGGGGAUCUUCGGACCUUGCGCGAUUGAAUGAGCCGAUGUCGGAUUAGCUAGUUGGCGGGGUAAAGGCCCACCAAGGCGACGAUCCGUAGCUGGUCUGAGAGGAUGAUCAGCCACACUGGAACUGAGACACGGUCCAGACUCCUACGGGAGGCAGCAGUGGGAAUAUUGGACAAUGGGCGCAAGCCUGAUCCAGCCAUACCGCGUGGGUGAAGAAGGCCUUCGGGUUGUAAAGCCCUUUUGUUGGGAAAGAAAAGCAGCAGGUUAAUACCCCGCUGUUCUGACGGUACCCAAAGAAUAAGCACCGGCUAACUUCGUG